Molecule: transfer RNA, 71 nt
Filed under: Henicorhina leucosticta
Lineage: Eukaryota; Metazoa; Chordata; Aves; Passeriformes; Certhiidae
Description: tRNA-Asp
Source: RNAcentral
AAGAGACGUUAGUAAAACAAUUACAUGGCUCUGUCAAGGCCAAAUCACAGGUGAAACCCCUGUACAUCUCA